GUGUGUAGAGAGGGAAGAAGGAGAAGAAGCAACCACAACACACAACUCCAGACUCCUGCAACCCUCAAGAAGCCACGGGUCCGCAAAGAAAGAAAAUGGCCCCCCACGGCCUCCUGCUUGGCUUGCUGUCUGCGACCGUGCUGUCACUGCUGGAGGGCAGCUCGGCAUUCCUGUCGCACCCCCGCCUGAAGGGCAGGUUUCAGAGGGACCGCAGGAACAUCCGCCCCAACAUCAUCCUGGUGCUGACGGACGACCAGGAUGUGGAGCUGGGUUCCAUGCAGGUGAUGAACAAGACCCGGCGCAUCAUGGAGCAGGGCGGGGCGCACUUCGUCAACGCCUUCGUGACCACGCCCAUGUGCUGCCCCUCACGUUCCUCCAUCCUCACCGGCAAGUACGUCCACAACCACAACACCUACACCAACAACGAGAACUGCUCCUCGCCCUCCUGGCAGGCGCAGCACGAGGGCCGCACCUUCGCCGUGUACCUCAACAGCACCGGCUACCGCACAGCUUUCUUCGGGAAGUAUCUUAAUGAGUACAAUGGCUCCUAUGUGCCGCCUGGCUGGAAGGAGUGGGUCGGACUCCUCAAAAACUCCCGCUUUUAUAACUACACGCUGUGCCGCAACGGAGUGAAGGAGAAGCACGGCUCCGACUACUCCAGGGAUUACCUCACAGACCUCAUCACCAAUGACAGUGUGAGCUUCUUCCGCACAUCCAAGAAGAUGUACCCACACAGGCCGGUCCUAAUGGUCAUCAGCCAUGCAGCCCCCCACGGCCCUGAGGACUCAGCCCCUCAAUACUCACGCCUCUUCCCCAACGCAUCCCAGCACAUCACACCGAGCUACAACUACGCGCCCAACCCGGACAAGCACUGGAUCAUGCGCUACACGGGGCCCAUGAAGCCCAUCCACAUGGAAUUCACCAACAUGCUGCAGCGGAAGCGCCUGCAGACCCUCAUGUCCGUCGAUGACUCCAUGGAGACGAUUUACAACAUGCUGGUGGAGACGGGCGAGCUGGAAAACACCUACAUCGUGUACACCGCCGACCACGGCUACCACAUCGGCCAGUUUGGCCUGGUGAAAGGGAAGUCCAUGCCGUACGAGUUCGACAUCAGGGUCCCGUUCUACGUGAGGGGCCCCAACGUGGAGGCUGGCUCUCUGAAUCCCCACAUUGUCCUCAACAUCGACCUGGCCCCCACCAUCCUGGACAUCGCAGGCCUGGACAUCCCCACGGAUAUGGAUGGGAAAUCUAUCCUCAAGCUGCUGGACACAGAGCGGCCGGUGAAUCGGUUUCACUUGAAAAGGAAGAUGAGGGUCUGGCGGGACUCCUUCCUGGUGGAGAGAGGCAAACUGCUCCACAAGCGGGACAACGACAAGGUGGAUGCCCAGGAGGAGAACUUCCUACCCAAGUACCAGCGCGUGAAGGACCUGUGUCAGCGUGCCGAGUAUCAGACGGCGUGCGAGCAACUGGGACAGAAGUGGCAGUGUGUGGAGGACGCCGCGGGGAAGCUGCAGCUGCACAAGUGCAAGGGCCCCGUGCGGCCGGGUGGCAGCAGAGCCCUCUCCAACCUGGUGCCCAAGUACUACGGGCAGGGCAGCGAGGCCUGCACCUGUGACGGCGGGGACUACAGGCUCAGCCUAGCCGGACGCCAGAAAAAGUUCUUCAAGAAGAAGUACAAGGCCAGCUAUGCCCGUAACCGCUCCAUCCGCUCAGUGGCCAUCCAGGUGGAUGACACAUCCCAACCCCGCAACCUUACCAAACGGCAUUGGCCAGGGGCCCCUGAGGACCAAGAUGACAAGGACGGUGGGGACUUCAGUGGUACUGGAGGCCUUCCAGACUACGCAGCCCCCAACCCCAUUAAAGUGACACAUCGGUGCUACAUCCUAGAGAAUGACACGGUCCAGUGUGACCUGGACCUGUACAAAUCCCUGCAGGCCUGGAAAGACCACAAGCUGCACAUUGACCACGAGAUCGAAACUCUUCAGAACAAAAUUAAGAACCUAAGGGAAGUCCGAGGUCACCUGAAGAAGAAGCGACCAGAAGAAUGUGAUUGCCACAAAAUCAGUUACCAAACCCAGCACAAAGGCCGCCUCAAGCACAAAGGCUCCAGUCUGCAUCCUUUCAGGAAGGGUCUGCAGGAGAAGGACAAGGUGUGGCUGUUGCGGGAGCAGAAGCGCAAGAAGAAACUUCGCAAGCUGCUCAAGCGACUGCAGAACAACGACACGUGCAGCAUGCCCGGCCUCACGUGCUUCACCCACGACAACCAGCACUGGCAGACGGCACCUCUCUGGACAUUGGGGCCUUUCUGUGCCUGUACCAGCGCCAACAAUAACACGUACUGGUGCAUGAGGACAAUCAACGAGACCCACAAUUUCCUCUUCUGUGAAUUUGCAACUGGCUUCCUAGAGUACUUUGAUCUCAACACAGACCCAUACCAGCUGAUGAAUGCAGUGAACACACUGGACAGGGAUGUCCUCAAUCAGCUACACGUACAGCUCAUGGAGCUGAGGAGCUGCAAGGGUUACAAGCAGUGUAACCCCCGGACUCGAAACAUGGACCUGGGACUUAAAGAUGGAGGAAGCUAUGAGCAGUACAGGCAGUUUCAGCGUCGAAAGUGGCCAGAAAUGAAGAGACCUUCUUCCAAAUCACUGGGACAACUAUGGGAAGGCUGGGAAGGUUAAGAAGCAACAGAGGUGGACCUCCAAAAACAGAGUUACCACCUGACUGUGCAGGCAGUGAAGAACCAAAUGUGAUUUCCAGCAGACCUAGGCUGUAGGCCAGGAGGCCUGAAAGAGACAGAACUUGCUUCAGUCAACCGGAAAAUUCUGGAGGAUAACCAUCAGAGCAGAGAGAACUUCAGGAAGUCCAUUUUUGCCCCUGCUUUUGCUUUGGAUUAUACCUCACCAGCUGCACAAAAUGCAUUUUCAUAUCAAAUAGUCACCACUAACCCUCCCUGAGAGGUUCACAUGGGAAAAAGAACAGAAAGAUUUUCUUAGAAAUCUCCCCCAAGAGUGAAAGUCACUGGAAUUUUUUAAAAUCAUAGGGGAAAACAACCCUGUUUUAAAUCCUCAUUUCUUUUGGUUCAUCACAAAGAAGGAACUAAGAAGCAAGACAGAGGCAACUUGGAGAGGCUGAAAACAGUGCCCAGAGUUUGACAGUGAGUCAAUAGCACAAAAGAAGUGACAUUUACCUAACACUAUAGCCCUGGUUGCCUCUGAAGAAACUGACUUCACUGUAUAUAUGUGACUAUUUACAUGUAACCAACAUGGGAACUUUAGGGGCAUCUGACUAAUAAGAAAUCCCAAUUUUCAAGAGUGGUGGUGUCAAUAAACGCUCAGUGGCCAGUGUAAAAGAAAAUCCCUUGCAGUUGUGAACAUUUCUGUUCCUGCCUAGAUAUCAGUUCUCCCUUUGUUAUCUACCCCAAGACUGACGAUUUUUUUUUAAGGUACUGAAAAGAAAUGAAGUUGAUGUAUGUCCCAAGUUUUAAUGAAACUGUAUUUGUAAAGAAAUUUUGUAGUAUAAGUAUUGUCAUACGAUGUUCAAAACCACAGCCAGUGACCAGCAAUUGGUAUGAAAAAAACCUUUGACAUUUUGUAAAAGGCCAUUCUUGGGA
This is an RNA transcript of Galeopterus variegatus (Sunda flying lemur), 3613 nucleotides long. It is a transcript of the gene named sulfatase 2, with no coding region annotated. The record is from RefSeq and is a predicted model, not a curated record. The transcript is spliced from 21 exons. Lineage: Eukaryota; Metazoa; Chordata; Mammalia; Dermoptera; Cynocephalidae.